UAGAUAAACUGUUUCUGCAAGCUGUA
This 26-nucleotide small RNA is filed under the name Bombyx mori (domestic silkworm). Its description in RNAcentral is "ovarian small RNA-22053". The record is from RNAcentral. Lineage: Eukaryota; Metazoa; Arthropoda; Insecta; Lepidoptera; Bombycidae.